UGGGGAAUCUUGCGCAAUGCGCGAAAGCGUGACGCAGCAACGCCGCGUGGGGGAAGAAGGCCUUCGGGUUGUAAACCCCUUUCAGUUGGGACGAAGCUUCGCCGGUGAAUAGCCGGCUGGAGUGACGGUACCUUCACAAGAAGCCCCGGCUAACUACGUGCCAGCAGCCGCGGUAAUACGUAGGGGGCUAGCGUUGUCCGGAAUCAUUGGGCGUAAAGCGCGUGUAGGCGGCCCGGUAAGUCCGCUGUGAAAGUCGGGGGCUCAACCCUCGGAUGCCGGUGGAUACUGUCGGGCUUGAGUGCGGAAGAGGCGAGUGGAAUUCCUGGUGUAGCGGUGAAAUGCGCAGAUAUCAGGAGGAACACCGAUUGCGAAGGCAGCUCGCUGGGACGUGACUGACGCUGAGACGCGAAAGCGUGGGGAGCAAACAGGAUUAGAUACCCUGGUAGUCCACGCUGUAAACGAUGGGCACUAGGUGUGGGGGGUGUCGACUCCCUCCGUGCCGAAGCUAACGCAUUAAGUGCCCCGCCUGGGGAGUACGGCCGCAAGGCUAA
This 551-nucleotide ribosomal RNA is filed under the name uncultured Solirubrobacter sp. RNAcentral describes it as "bacterial SSU rRNA". It matches the Rfam family "Bacterial small subunit ribosomal RNA", at positions 355 to 897 of the family's 1533-position model. Lineage: Bacteria; Bacillati; Actinomycetota; Thermoleophilia; Solirubrobacterales; Solirubrobacteraceae. The record is from RNAcentral.